ACGGAGGGGACUAGCGUUGUUCGGAAUUACUGGGCGUAAAGCGCACGUAGGCGGCUUUCUAAGUCAGGGGUGAAAUCCUGGAGCUCAACUCCAGAACUGCCUUUGAUACUGAAGAGCUUGAGUCCGGGAGAGGUGAGUGGAACUCCGAGUGUAGAGGUGAAAUUCGUAGAUAUUCGGAAGAACACCAGUGGCGAAGGCGGCUCACUGGCCCGGUACUGACGCUGAUGUGCGAAAGCGUGGGGAGCAAACAGGA
This 253-nucleotide ribosomal RNA is filed under the name uncultured prokaryote. Its description in RNAcentral is "partial 16S ribosomal RNA". It matches the Rfam family "Bacterial small subunit ribosomal RNA", at positions 525 to 777 of the family's 1533-position model. The record is from RNAcentral.